GACGAACGCUGGCGGCGUGCUUAACACAUGCAAGUCGAACGGAAAGGCCCUGCUUUUGUGGGGUGCUCGUGUGGCGAACGGGUGAGUCACACGUGUGUACCCUGCCCCUGACUUUGGGAUAACUUCAGGAAACUGGGGCUUAUCCCGGAUAGGCGCUCCUUCUGCAUGUUGUGGGUUGGAAAGUUUCGGCGGUUGGGGAUGGACUCGCGGCCUAUCGGCUUGUUGGUGGGGUAGUGGCUUACCAAGGCUUUGACGGGUAGCCGGCCUGGGUGGGUGACCGGCCACAUUGGGACUGAGAUACGGCCCAGACUCCUACGGGAGGCAGCGGUGGGGAAUAUUGCACAAUGGGCGGAAGCCUGAUGCAGCAACGCCGCGUGCGGGAUGACGGCCUUCGGGUUGUAAACCGCUUUCGCCUGUGACGAAGCGUGAGUGACGGUAAUGGGUAAAGAAGCACCGGCUAACUACGUG
Molecule: ribosomal RNA, 468 nt
Filed under: uncultured bacterium
Lineage: Bacteria
Description: partial 16S ribosomal RNA
Rfam family: Bacterial small subunit ribosomal RNA
Source: RNAcentral